AACGAACGCUGGCGGCGUGCCUAACACAUGCAAGUCGAACGAGAAGUACGUAGCAAUACGUAUUGUAAAGUGGCGCACGGGUGAGUAACACGUGGGUAAUCUGCCCUUGAGUUUGGGAUAACCCCGCGAAAGCGGGGCUAAUACCGAAUAAGACCACGGGGACCAAAGUCCCUGAGGUAAAAGGUGGCCUCUAUUUAUAAGCUACCACUUGAGGAUGAGCCCGCGGCCCAUUAGCUAGUUGGCAGGGUAACGGCCUACCAAGGCGAUGAUGGGUAGCUGGUCUGAGAGGACGAUCAGCCACACUGGAACUGAGACACGGUCCAGACUCCUACGGGAGGCAG
Molecule: ribosomal RNA, 341 nt
Filed under: uncultured Nitrospirota bacterium
Lineage: Bacteria; Pseudomonadati; Nitrospirota
Description: bacterial SSU rRNA
Rfam family: Bacterial small subunit ribosomal RNA
Source: RNAcentral